RNAcentral lists this ribosomal RNA (31 nucleotides) under Nakaseomyces glabratus. RNAcentral describes it as "[Candida] glabrata partial 18S ribosomal RNA". The record is from RNAcentral. Lineage: Eukaryota; Fungi; Ascomycota; Saccharomycetes; Saccharomycetales; Saccharomycetaceae. RNAcentral also lists the same sequence under 1 other name.
UCCGUAGGUGAACCUGCGGGAAGGAUCAUUA